CCUGCUGCAGCCAAGGAAAUUCUAAAGCACGAAUUAUAGCAGUUACUCUUCACGUUUCAGCGAACAAGCACCAUUUUGAUAACUAUAAGAUAGAGUGUACUGAGACUGAGCCAAAAUCAACAGCUUCCCUGUGACGCUAACCAGCUUGAAAUGGAAAUAUGGUCUUCCUGCCUUUGCCACUGCAUAAUCCCAUUUUCAUAGUUGCUGGAUUCAUUAUUCCAUUCACCACGGGCUCUUGUGUUACCGGCAAAUGUCUCGUCUCAUUUAACUUCACUAUUGGAAGGAAUGUGGUGGAUGGUCACGCCCUGCUUGGUCACGUGUUUGCAAAUGUCUCAGUGACAGGAGUGAUGGACUGUCACAGAGCAUGUCAAUCAAACUGUCGUUGUCUCUCGUUCAAUUUCCUGACACAUUCCAGCCAGGACAACUGUCAGCUGAAUGAAGAAAACCGACAUCUAAAGCCUGGUGCUUUGAUUCCGAUGGAAGGCUUUCAGGCUUUCAUCUACAAUUCGGAGGCCUGUAGCCAGUGUUAUAACAGAUGUUGCAGGGUUCAGCCAUGUCUCAAUGGAGGAAUAUGUCAGGAAAAUUGUGACGUGACUGGAAGGCGAUUCUUGUGUCAUUGUCCUGCGCCUUUU
Long non-coding RNA from Stylophora pistillata, 632 nucleotides. The record is from RefSeq and is a predicted model, not a curated record. NCBI's taxonomy places the organism in Eukaryota, Metazoa, Cnidaria, Anthozoa, Scleractinia, Pocilloporidae.